GCAGACGCGGGACGUGCACACAACGCGCACAUCCAAUCCACGUGCACGGCGUGGGGUUAAACCCUGUGCGCAUCAUGUCACCAUAGGUGGGCUGUCCGCGAGUCACCUCACGUGUGGACAGUGUCGCACAUUGUACGUGCGCCAUCCGAGCAGCAGGCCUACGCAGAUAAACCCUUAUGUGCCUGGGGCCUGCGCGCAGGCUAGCCCUUGUGCGCGCGACAGGUGGCCUAUGUGCCUGCAUCGCGUCGGGCAGGCUACUACCACCUUAGGCAGUGUGCCACCGUCACCUCAGGCGACGCAUUGCAACUGUUGACAGAUGAGGCCUUCCUCCCUCGUUUUUCAUGCUGAACAUUUUUUUUCUCUCUCUUCACUAGAUUUCUCCACUUGGUGUGAAUCCAAUGGUUCUAAAUUUCUAUAAAUAGGUCUUCCCUUCCCACUCUUUGCCACACUUUUAUUCUUCUAUUUUUCAAUACUUAGAGAGAAAGAGAGAGUGAUUUAGAGAGAGAAUGAGCGAAAGAAAAGAAGAACACUAAAGGAGGAAAUAUCAAGGUUUCCGUAAGGAAUUUAGUAUUUCUUUCGACGUCUUAGGGAGUAUUUUUAGAUUAAAAAAAUUAUUAAAUUAUGAUAGUUAUGACUUUGUCUUUUUUGCAUGCUUGUGUAUAUGUAGGUCUUAUUAGCUAAACAGUUCUUAUUUUCAAGCAUGCUAUGUGAUUUAUAGACACUUGAUGUUUUGCAUGUAAUAAAAUUAACAUGAACUCAGUAUUGUUACCUGGAAAAAUAAAAGAAACAAAAAGAAAGAAAAUGAAAUGAAACAUGAACGGUUCGAAGUAUGAAUCUAUUUUGACAUGCAUAAUGCAUCAAGAAUGUCGUUAGGUUUUUUAUUUCUGAGGGGUAUCUGUGUCCCCCUCCCCCACUGGUCUAGAAAGACGUAAGAGGACCGCUCGUUGUAGAUGAUGGCGUACCCUCUAACGAGAGUGGUGAUGUGAAUAUCUGUUAGGGGUCACCUUUGGCUAAGUAUUGUCGUGACUAUAGAUAUCUGAUAGGACCACUAUGGUUAGU
This 1059-nucleotide long non-coding RNA is filed under the name Carica papaya (papaya). Its description in RNAcentral is "long non-coding RNA (CPAP_LNC006454)". Lineage: Eukaryota; Viridiplantae; Streptophyta; Magnoliopsida; Brassicales; Caricaceae. The record is from RNAcentral.